Molecule: ribosomal RNA, 420 nt
Filed under: bacterium
Lineage: Bacteria
Description: partial 16S ribosomal RNA
Rfam family: Bacterial small subunit ribosomal RNA
Source: RNAcentral
UGGGGGAUAUUGCACAAUGGGCGAAAGCCUGAUGCAGCGACGCCGCGUGGGGGAUGAAGGCUUUCGGGUUGUAAACCUCUUUCGGUAUCGAACAAGGCCCGCUUAGGGUGGGUUGAGGGUAGGUGGAGAAGAAGCGCCGGCUAACUACGUGCCAGCAGCCGCGGUAAUACGUAGGGCGCGAGCGUUGUCCGGAAUUAUUGGGCGUAAAGGGCUUGUAGGCGGCUUGUUGCGCCUGCUGUGAAAACGCGGGGCUUAACUUCGCGCGUGCAGUGGGUACGGGCAGGCUUGAGUGUGGUAGGGGUGACUGGAAUUCCAGGUGUAGCGGUGGAAUGCGCAGAUAUCUGGAGGAACACCGAUGGCGAAGGCAGGUCACUGGGCCAUUACUGACGCUGAGGAGCGAAAGCAUGGGUAGCGAACAGG